RNAcentral lists this small nucleolar RNA (87 nucleotides) under Sporothrix schenckii ATCC 58251. The record is from RNAcentral. Lineage: Eukaryota; Fungi; Ascomycota; Sordariomycetes; Ophiostomatales; Ophiostomataceae.
AUAUGAUGAUUUUUUUAGAUGACGAGUCUUAUCCGCGUUAGCGAUGCAGACAACAUAAAAUAUAAUUCCAUUCAUGCAUUCCUGAUC